UACGGAAGGCAGCAGUGGGGAAUAUUGCACAAUGGGCGCAAGCCUGAUGCAGCCAUGCCGCGUGUAUGAAGAAGGCCUUCGGGUUGUAAAGUACUUUCAGCGGGGAGGAAGGCGAUGCGGUUAAUAACCGCGUCGAUUGACGUUACCCGCAGAAGAAGCACCGGCUAACUCCGUGCCAGCAGCCGCGGUAAUACGGAGGGUGCAAGCGUUAAUCGGAAUUACUGGGCGUAAAGCGCACGCAGGCGGUCUGUUAAGUCAGAUGUGAAAUCCCCGGGCUUAACCUGGGAACUGCAUUUUGAAACUGGCAGGCUUGAGUCUUGUAGAGGGGGUAGAAUUCCAGGUGUAGCGGUGAAAUGCGUAGAGAUCUGGAGGGAAUACCGGUGGCGAAGGGCGGGCCCCCUGGGACAAAGACUGACGCUCAGGGUGCGGAAGCGUGGGGAGCGAAACAGGGAUUAAUACC
This 460-nucleotide ribosomal RNA is filed under the name uncultured bacterium. RNAcentral's name for it is "bacterial SSU rRNA". It matches the Rfam family "Bacterial small subunit ribosomal RNA", at positions 340 to 786 of the family's 1533-position model. The record is from RNAcentral.